AAAGUGGAUUAGCGGCGGACGGGUGAGUAACACGUGAGUAACCUGCCUUAGACAUUGGGAUAGCCUCGGGAAACCGGGAUUAAUACCAAAUAAAAUCAUAAUGACACAUGUCAUAACGAUCAAAACUCCGGUGGUCUAAGAUGGACUCGCGUCCCAUUAGCUAGUUGGUAGAGUAAAAGCCUACCAAGGCGACGAUGGGUAGCCGGCCUGAGAGGGUGAACGGCCACAUUGGAACUGAGAAACGGUCCAAACUCCUACGGGAGGCAGCAGUGGGGAAUAUUGCACAAUGGAGGGAACUCUGAUGCAGCGACGCCGCGUGAACGAAGAAGGCUUUCGAGUCGUAAAGUUCUUUUAUAUGGGAAGAUAAUGACGGUACCAUAAGAAAAAGCCCCGGCUAACUAC
Molecule: ribosomal RNA, 402 nt
Filed under: uncultured Peptoniphilus sp.
Lineage: Bacteria; Bacillati; Bacillota; Tissierellia; Tissierellales; Peptoniphilaceae
Description: bacterial SSU rRNA
Rfam family: Bacterial small subunit ribosomal RNA
Source: RNAcentral